Molecule: ribosomal RNA, 97 nt
Filed under: Acacia spirorbis subsp. solandri
Lineage: Eukaryota; Viridiplantae; Streptophyta; Magnoliopsida; Fabales; Fabaceae
Description: partial 5.8S ribosomal RNA
Rfam family: 5.8S ribosomal RNA
About the family: 5.8S ribosomal RNA (5.8S rRNA) is a component of the large subunit of the eukaryotic ribosome. It is transcribed by RNA polymerase I as part of the 45S precursor that also contains 18S and 28S rRNA.
Source: RNAcentral
CUUGGUGUGAUUGCAGAAUCCCGUGAACCAUCGAGUCUUUGAACGCAAGUUGCGCCCGAAGCCGUCAGGCCGAGGGCACGCCUGCCUGGGCGUCACG